Molecule: long non-coding RNA, 295 nt
Filed under: Capsicum annuum
Lineage: Eukaryota; Viridiplantae; Streptophyta; Magnoliopsida; Solanales; Solanaceae
Description: long non-coding RNA (CANN_LNC019285)
Source: RNAcentral
UCAUUUAAAGGUACUUGAAACAUCAACCCAUAGUAGGGAUAUAGAAUUUCCAAUAUCAAUUAUAAAUUCAUAAUAAGGAAAUAGUGGAAUGAUAGUAUAAAUCAAGGCUUAACAAAUUAAAUCAUCAUACUCUCAUAAUCAAAUACUUUUUGGACAUAAUUCCAUCUCAACAUCAUACACAUAUCGAAUGACAUAAUCCCAUAGCUCAUGGACAAUAAUAUAAGAUAUAAAACCAUAUUUCCAAUUCAUGGUAAAACAUGUAAAAUCUCAUGUCAAUGUAAUUCAACAAAAAUAC